AGUGAACGCUGGCGGCAGGCCUAACACAUGCAAGUCGAACGGCAGCACAGUAAGAGCUUGCUCUUACGGGUGGCGAGUGGCGGACGGGUGAGGAAUACAUCGGAAUCUACUUUUUCGUGGGGGAUAACGUAGGGAAACUUACGCUAAUACCGCAUACGACGUACGGGUGAAAGCAGGGGAUCUUCGGACCUUGCGCGAUCGAAUGAGCCGAUGUCGGAUUAGCUAGUUGGCGGGGUAAAGGCCCACCAAGCCGACGAUCCGUAGCUGGUCUGAGAGGAUGAUCAGCCACACUGGAACUGAGACACGGUCCAGACUCCUACGGGAGGCAGCAGUGGGGAAUAUUGGACAAUGGGCGCAAGCCUGAUCCAGCCAUGCCGCGUGGGUGAAGAAGGCCUUCGGGUUGUAAAGCCCUUUUGUUGGGAAAGAAAAGCAGCAAGUUAAUACCCCGCUGUUCUGACGGUACCCAAAGAAUAAGCACCGGCUAACUUCGUG
RNAcentral lists this ribosomal RNA (492 nucleotides) under uncultured bacterium. RNAcentral's name for it is "partial 16S ribosomal RNA". It matches the Rfam family "Bacterial small subunit ribosomal RNA", at positions 29 to 507 of the family's 1533-position model. The record is from RNAcentral.